AACGAACGCUGGCGGCAGGCUUAACACAUGCAAGUCGAACGCCCCGCAAGGGGAGUGGCAGACGGGUGAGUAACGCGUGGGAACAUACCCUUUCCUGCGGAAUAGCUCCGGGAAACUGGAAUUAAUACCGCAUACGCCCUACGGGGGAAAGAUUUAUCGGGGAAGGAUUGGCCCGCGUUGGAUUAGCUAGUUGGUGGGGUAAAGGCCUACCAAGGCGACGAUCCAUAGCUGGUCUGAGAGGAUGAUCAGCCACAUUGGGACUGAGACACGGCCCAAACUCCUACGGGAGGCAGCAGUGGGGAAUAUUGGACGAUGGGCGCAAGCCUGAUCCAGCCAUGCCGCGUGAGUGAUGAAGGCCUUAGGGUUGUAAAGCUCUUUCACCGAUGAAGAUAAUGACGGUAGUCGGAGAAGAAGCCCCGGCUAACUUCGUG
RNAcentral lists this ribosomal RNA (431 nucleotides) under uncultured bacterium. RNAcentral's name for it is "partial 16S ribosomal RNA". It matches the Rfam family "Bacterial small subunit ribosomal RNA", at positions 29 to 507 of the family's 1533-position model. The record is from RNAcentral.